This 492-nucleotide ribosomal RNA is filed under the name uncultured bacterium. Its description in RNAcentral is "partial 16S ribosomal RNA". It matches the Rfam family "Bacterial small subunit ribosomal RNA", at positions 29 to 507 of the family's 1533-position model. The record is from RNAcentral.
AGUGAACGCUGGCGGUAGGCCUAACACAUGCAAGUCGAACGGCAGCACAGUAAGAGCUUGCUCUUACGGGUGGCGAGUGGCGGACGGGUGAGGAAUACAUCGGAAUCUACUUUUUCGUGGGGGAUAACGUAGGGAAACUUACGCUAAUACCGCAUACGACCUACGGGUGAAAGCAGGGGAUCUUCGGACCUUGCGCGAUUGAAUGAGCCGAUGUCGGAUUAGCUAGUUGGCGGGGUAAAGGCCCACCAAGGCGACGAUCCGUAGCUGGUCUGAGAGGAUGAUGAGACAGAGUGGAAGAGAGAUAGGGUCGAGACUAAGACGGGAGGCAGCAGUGGGGAAUAUGGGAGGAUGGGCGGAAGCUUGAACAACCCUUACGGCGGGAAAGAAAAGGGCCUUCGGAUUGUAACGCCCUUGUGUUGGGAAAGAAAAACAGCAGGCUAAUGCACCGCUGGCCUGACGGUACCCAAAGAAUAAGCAAAGGCCACCUUCGUG